Molecule: ribosomal RNA, 253 nt
Filed under: uncultured bacterium
Lineage: Bacteria
Description: partial 16S ribosomal RNA
Rfam family: Bacterial small subunit ribosomal RNA
Source: RNAcentral
UACAGAGGGUGCGAGCGUUAAUCGGAAUUACUGGGCGUAAAGCGUGCGUAGACGGCUAUCUAAGUCGGGUGUGAAAGCCCCGGGCUCAACCUGGGAAUUGCAUUCGAGACUGAAUAGCUAGGGUGCGGUAGAGGGAAGCGGAAUUCCCGGUGUAGUGGUGAAAUGCGUAGAUAUCGGGAGGAACACCAGUGGCGAAGGCGGCUUCCUGGCCUGUUCUUGACGCUGAGGCGCGAAAGCUAGGGGAGCAAACGGG